This 253-nucleotide ribosomal RNA is filed under the name uncultured bacterium. RNAcentral's name for it is "partial 16S ribosomal RNA". It matches the Rfam family "Bacterial small subunit ribosomal RNA", at positions 524 to 776 of the family's 1533-position model. The record is from RNAcentral.
UACGAGAGGGGCGAGCGUUGUUCGGAAUUAUUAAGCGUAAAGGGCACGUAGACGGUUGGAUAAGUCUUAUGUGAAAUCUUCGAACUCAACUCGAAAUCUGCACGAGAAACUAUCUGGCUUGAGUGUGGGAGAGGUGAGUGGAAUUCCUGGUGUAGCGGUGAAAUGCGUAGAUAUCAGGAGGAACACCUGUGGCGAAAGCGGCUCACUGGACCACAACUGACGCUGAGGCGCGAAAGCGUGGGGAGCAAACAGG